GAGGAAAGAGGGAGGAGGGUAGAAUACAUGCAAGUCGAGCGAACGGACGAGAAGCUUGCUUCUCUGAUGUUAGCGGCGGACGGGUGAGUAACACGUGGAUAACCUACCUAUAAGACUGGGAUAACUUCGGGAAACCGGAGCUAAUACCGGAUAAUAUUUUGAACCGCAUGGUUCAAAAGUGAAAGACGGUCUUGCUGUCACUUAUAGAUGGAUCCGCGCUGCAUUAGCUAGUUGGUAAGGUAACGGCUUACCAAGGCAACGAUGCAUAGCCGACCUGAGAGGGUGAUCGGCCACACUGGAACUGAGACACGGUCCAGACUCCUACGGGAGGCAGCAGUAGGGAAUCUUCCGCAAUGGGCGAAAGCCUGACGGAGCAACGCCGCGUGAGUGAUGAAGGUCUUCGGAUCGUAAAACUCUGUUAUUAGGGAAGAACAUAUGUGUAAGUAACUGUGCACAUCUUGACGGUACCUAAUCAGAAAGCCACGGCUAACUACGUG
RNAcentral lists this ribosomal RNA (497 nucleotides) under uncultured bacterium. Its description in RNAcentral is "partial 16S ribosomal RNA". It matches the Rfam family "Bacterial small subunit ribosomal RNA", at positions 28 to 507 of the family's 1533-position model. The record is from RNAcentral.